ACUCAUUUGAAGGUUUGAUUCUUACUUUCAUCAUUGUAUUGUCAACAAAUUAUUUCCGUUCUGGUAUUAUUUAGUGUUUAUUGGGAUGGUGUAAAAUCGUCUUUUAAUCAUGGUUCAAAAUUGCGGAUGCGGUUGCAGAUGAUGCGAUUGCAGUCAUUGCGGGUUGCUACGAUCGCACUGAGGCUGUUGUAGCGUGAUUUUGAUUGAGAAAGAUUUUAAAUACAUAGUUGAAAAACACUUACUGUUAAAAAAUUUCGUAAAUUGAGUUUUGAAAACUAUGAGUGUUCGAUGAAAAUACUUGAAGAAACAUAGAUGAAAUUGUCUGAUGGGGUUCUUAAUGUGGGUCGAAAUCUGAUUUUAAAAUCACUGUGCAAUUGCGGUCCGAUACGUUGCGGAGGCUACGCAUCAGCAAAAAUUUCAGCCGCAAUUGCGGUUGUGGACCGCAAUUUAAAACCAUGCUUCUAAUUUGAUUUGGAUUCUGUUUGACUGAGAAAUCAUGAAUUUGACAUAUUUACAACCUAAAUUUGUUUGAUUUUCUAUUGGAGGGUUUCAAAUUUGCUAAAUCUGACUAAAAAUACAAAGUUGAAAUAUGAGUAUCUAAACAAACCAGGUUGUUUGAUUAUGGAAUAUUUGUGGAUUCUCUAAGGACUUUUCCUGCAGUCAAGAACAUCCAGAUUGUUCUAUUUUUAAUACUAAUUAUUUCUAAACUUUGAUAAACCAAAGUUGAAAUUGAUUAUCUGAUUUAAGGCAACCCAGGUUGCUUGAUUGCGAUUUUUUUAUUUAUUUAGAAUCUUACAGCAGUAGGGGAGGUUUCAACUGGGGAAGUUGAAAAAUACAACUUACUGUCAUAAUUUUCUUUUUUUGAUUUUACUAUUUAAUUUAAACUUAAACUUUUUUCCUCCUAGAAACCAAUAAAUGCACAUUUUAUAUUAACAAUGCUUCUACUCUUUUGCACUCACGCUGACUUUUAGGGAGGAAUGAGAGAAAACCUUCUAUUAUGCUAUGUGAUUUAUAUUUUACAUGCUAAUUUACAGGACACACAGCAACAAAAGCAGGAAACUCUAAGACAUCGAUUGAACAAGAAAAACCUUGUGACCGUGCCGCAGUCAAAGUCUGCAGUUGGCAAAUAACAAUCUCAAACCUCGGAAAACAAUCAAACGUCGAAGUAAAACGGCUUUACAGAAGGAUGAGCAACCUCAACUUGAAUUACUAUGUAACAAAGAACAGUCAAAGUGUCAAACUUUAGCAUCUCUGAUACUGGAGGAACGGAAAGUAGAACACUAAGGAGUUUAGGUGAGGAGAAUGGUAUGAUGCAGCAUAAUUUAGUGAAGGAACAAAAUCAGUCUAAUGAAGAUGCUUUACCAAACAGAGAGAGCAAUCAUCAUGAACAACAACAUAAUAAUGUGAAUGCUUUAUAUGGUCAUGGUAAGCAUGCAGAAGAAAUCAUUGCGAAUGUUAGACACAAAAGUUGGGUGAGUCCAAUAACGACAAUAAUAUGCCGUUGCAGAGUGCUUCCAGAUUUCUGAAUGUCUAAAACAGAAGGGAGAUUUCUCAGAUGAUUUGGUUAUGCAAUAAAAAGAAUUGAAUCUCGCAUUUUGGCUUUUAAACUUUGCUCGAAUUUGGUGGAAUCCUGUAAGAGCAACAGUGCAGUUCGCGAUCCUUUGCACAAAGUAGCUAAUUUGGAAAGUCCCAAAAUACAAAGAAAAGUCAGUGCUGGCAAGAAGAUCACUUUAAUUGUAAAAAGUCUCUCUUGGAAGGACAUAGGCUAAUGGAUCAAACACACUCGUGAUUCAAGUUCUAAAGGUUAAAAACUUGAUUUCAGAAAGUGCAGCCGAGGAACCCUUUUUAGAUCGAAAUAAUCAUCGAGUCAGAGUCAGGUGGCUUAUCAGAAUGUUGGCUUCGUACAGUUAAUGCAGAGUCUGCCAAGAGUGUUAACAUACCAAUGCAUAUACUACACAGUUAGUAUCAGGUGAAGAAGAAUUGAGAAGUGGAACUGGAUUCAACCUUCAGUACAAAACAUGGACUGAUAGAAAGAGUCAAGUCAUUGAAUAGGUUAGUUAGUGGUGAUGCCCACCUUGGAAAUCAAGCUAGUGAGUGUAUUCAAGGUUUGAGGGUUCCUUUGAAUCAAGCUGGUUUACUAAGAAGUCUUCCAUGUUUUCUAGUCAAACCAAUAGGGAAAGUUUGGUCAGAAAAUCUCCAAUAGCAGGUUGGUCUAAGCCUGAUCUGAAUCAUAAGGAAAGGAAUUCUGAAUCUUGUCAUGCACAGAAUUUACAAGAUUUACACCUACUGUUGCCCGAAGAGAAAAGCCACUGCCUCAUCAGAUGGUAAUAAAACCAACUCUAUGGACAGAGAUCCAAUGAGAUUAAGGUGAAUUCCCAUCAACAUAGAGAUGAAUCAGUCUUUUAUACAGGAGAGGAACUCAUAAGACAGGUAAUGUUGAGCUCUUGUAAAACUAGGUUGAAACCCAACUUCGUGAAACCAGAGGAAUCAAUCUCAAACUCUGAUUCGUUCUCGAUGGACUUCUCAGCAAGACAGUGCCAAUACUAGUAGUGAAUCUGAGGACUCCUCUUGUCAGUUGGUACAAAGGUUCCUAAUCAGGAAGGAUGGUUGAUGCAUUAUAUGAAGGAAGCUCAAAAGAGAGUAGUGAUUCAAAUUUCAAUAUAAACAAUGCCCGCUUCACAUCAGAGUUGGAAGUUUUUAAAUCUUAUGGAUUAUCACAAUGAAAGAAAUCCAAAGAAAACAUUCGAGGCCUAAAGAGGCUGAAAAAAUAAGUUGGGACUAAUCUUUCACCACCAUCAUCAUCACGCAUCACCAUCACUGAUUGGUGACAUGGUAGCCUUCAUUCUUAUGAAGGUCCUAGACAUUCAAUGUGGAAUCACUUGCAGAAUGUUUUCCAUCACAAAAACAAGUCUGGAAUGAUAAACAAUCAAAAAGUUGAGAAGACAAGGAGAGGGCUACUACAAAAGUUGUGCCACACAGAAACCAGAUUGGCCAUUUUCAUAGACUUGUGGAAGGACUAAUUGAGACACGUCCAGCAUUCAAAGAAGCCAAAGCCUUCCAGGCAUGGUUUGGUUAAAGGGUCUCAUGAUAAUGCACAUGACAUCGGCAAAAGAACCUUCAUUGGUGGCAAACCCUUCGACGAAGCCGAGGGGUGAAGUUGAAAAAGAAAGGCCGAGUUAAAAAAAUGGGCUUUUAUAAGCCAAAAAUCACUUAACAACUAAGUCUGAAUUUGGGUGCACAUUUGCGUUUCUGGUCUUGCACAGUAUUGCCUUCUAGCUUGUGGCAUUACAGUUCUUUCAAUAUAGGUUCUUAUCAACUUAUUGCAAUCAGUUAUACUUCUUUCUGAUUUUCUUCUAUUUUCCUAGAUAUUUUGGCUCUGUUGAAUGGCCACUUGGUGAUUCUCCCAAUUUGGUUAAUGUUGGCUUGGUGAUUCUGGAUUUUGUUUGUCCAUGGUGAUCCUGGAUAUGCUUCAAAUAUUUUUAUACAGAUGAUAAUAUAUACAUAUUUUUUGUUAAUUUUUGAAUUUCAAAAAUGAUUAUUCCUUUCUGAUAUUUAAAGAUCAAAGCAAUUUGGUACAAUAUGACUGUUGAAUACAAUGUAUUCAUUUGUUUUAUAAAUAUAAUUAAUCAUGUCUUUUUGUUCAUUAAAAAAUUAAUUAAUCCAAUGCUACAUGACAUGCAUACCACCAGACUUCUUUUUUUGUUGACAUUUAUUUUAAAUUCCAAUUUGGUGAUUUCAAUAGUUUUAUUAAGGUAGAGUUAUAUAGUUGAAAAUUUUUGUUAAGCUGUGCAUAGCUUCUAGUUUUUAUGGCAGUUUAUGUUGUAUAAUUUCGUUAUGCAUAUUUUUCUUAUUUUUGAAAGUGUAUAGCUUGGUAUAGAAGACAAUUUUACAGCUGUAAUGAAAAAUUCUUCCUCUACUUCUUUCAACCACGGUUGGACAUAUGAUGUGUUUGUGAGAAAGAAAAUUUGGUAGAAAACUAUGGAGUGAAAGAAAGAAAAAGGACAAUUAGUUCGUCUAGUUUUCUACCAUGUUGACCCUCGUUUAAAAGAAAAUGCAAAUAGGUUGAAACAUAAGAGGUAUAUUUCAUGAGAUGAAUGAAUGUAUCUUGAUCUCGAGAGUUGCUAGAACCCACAAUUAAGGUUUAAGGUUUAGUUUGGAGUGAUAGAAUCAAUUGAAAUGGAAUGGAGGAAUAUUCCAUUGUUUGAAUCAUUUAAAAUAGAUUGGAGUAGAACGGAAUGGAGUGGUACGGAGUCCGUUAUAUUCUAUGACUUGCUACCAUAUUUUUUUCCUUUAAUUUCAGUUGAAUAAAAUUUGUCUUACAUGAAAUGUUUGUAAUGUUGAUUUAUGUUAUUUUGCUUUAGUCUCUAUAAAAUUUGACUUACAUGUUUGAAUAUUUAUUUUGCUAAUUUUUAGUCAUUAUGCUAUUUUUGUUGGGAUUGUAACAGAAAAAAUGAGAGCAAAAUGAAAAAAACACUCGUCAUUAAAAAUAAUUAAUUCAUGGAUUAAGAUAAAAAAUGAAAAAAAUUAUGAAAGUGUGUUGAUUAUGAGUGAGCUCGUGUAAUGAGAAUGUGAUUGUUGAAGUGUGUUGAACCUUGAUAAUUGAAUGAGGAAGGGUGCUUAUUGUUAUUUAUAGAUGGAGAGUGGUUAUGAUUCUGUUAUGAAAUAUCUGUUAUGAAAUGAAAAUGUAGUUCACUCAAGUGAUUCUCAAGUGCAGAAGUUGGUUGGAGAUUGAGAGUUAGUUAGGAAAUUGGUUUCAACUGAAAUUCACAGUGAAAUAUAAAUUUGAAUUUAACUUCUGCCUGUGAAAUGCAUUAGUUAUGGAUCUAUCUUGACAUGAACUUGGACUUAAAUUGUAUUUUCGUUUUAGGUUAUUUUCGAAGUGAAUUUGAGUGUCAUUAAAAUGUGAAAUGCAAAUCGAUUUAGAGCUGGUGUAUUAUCCUGAAACUAAUCUGCAGAAUGCUAUAGCAGUAAAAUGGUUUGGGUUGAAAUUAUAUUUCUUUCGAAUUCUGCAGGGAUGUUUAACAGCAAAGAAAGGCUUAUAUUAAAAUCCACUUUUCUGUCAAAUUUUGCAGGGUGUUAAGCAGUAACAAAAUGCUUGUAUUGAAUAUGCUCUUUCCUGUCAAAUUUUGCAGGGUGCUAACUGGUGUAGCAGUACUGCAUCUUCUGUCCACUUCAUUCUCAUUUUGCUUGAAAUGACAAUGGAUUUGUCUUGUCAUGUGGAUUGUUUUGCAGGUUGGUUUGAGGGCUGCACCUUGCACUUGGAUUGCAUUGGAAUGGGCCAUGGGAAAAUAUGGAUCGGAAGGAAUGGGACUGCAUUGGUUUGGAAGAGAUCUUGACUAUGAAUUGGUAGCUUAGGAGUUUGGACUAGGUUUGUUUUUUAUUGACUCAAUUGUAAAGUGUAAGGCAUGUACAUGAGUUUUAAAAAUGAAUGAAGGUUGUAUCUCUUUGAAUGCAUUAAACAUUGAAUGAAAAAAUAACUUCCAAUUUUCUUUACUUGUUCCUAAAGCAAAAAUAAAUAAAUUAUGAAAUAAAAUGCAUUAAAAGCAAGAUUUUGUGAUUAAAGAUGAUAUAAAUGGAAAAAUCAAAUUUUAAAAAAUGAAUUAUCUAAAAAUAAGAAAAUUGAUAAUAAAAGAAAAUAGAAAAUAUAAUUUUUGAUUUUUUUUGUGUGAUUUAUUGACUCGAUGAAUUUGAUUAAAC
Molecule: long non-coding RNA, 5697 nt
Filed under: Lathyrus oleraceus (garden pea)
Lineage: Eukaryota; Viridiplantae; Streptophyta; Magnoliopsida; Fabales; Fabaceae
Description: Pisum sativum (pea) long non-coding RNA (PSAT_LNC032151)
Source: RNAcentral